UACGUAGGGUGCGAGCGUGUCCGGAAUUAUUGGGCGUAAAGAGCGUGUAGGCGGUUUGGUAGGUCCGCUGUGAAAACUCGAGGCUCAACCUCGAGACGCCGGUGGAAACCAUCAGACUAGAGUCCGGAAGAGGAGAGUGGAAUUCCUGGUGUAGCGGUGAAAUGCGCAGAUAUCAGGAAGAACACCCGUGGCUAAGGCGGCUCUCUAGUACGGUACUGACGCUGAGACGCGAAAGCGUGGGGAGCGAACAGG
Molecule: ribosomal RNA, 252 nt
Filed under: uncultured bacterium
Lineage: Bacteria
Description: partial 16S ribosomal RNA
Rfam family: Bacterial small subunit ribosomal RNA
Source: RNAcentral